This 591-nucleotide ribosomal RNA is filed under the name Triticum aestivum (bread wheat). RNAcentral describes it as "partial small subunit ribosomal RNA". The record is from RNAcentral. Lineage: Eukaryota; Viridiplantae; Streptophyta; Magnoliopsida; Poales; Poaceae.
AUGACGAACCCAGGCUGCAUAAUCCUCGUCUGCGUCAUUUGCUUCUUCGCCAUCGUAGGUUGCGAGCUCGCCUUCCUCGUCAUCGAUGGCUACAAGAAGCCGCGCUACUACGCGGCCAUCAACUCCUUCUCCGGCCUCGACCCGGCCAAGGAUCUCCGCCGGCCCUCGCUCGACCCUGUAUUCAACAUCAGCCUCGGCGUCGCUUCCGACGACCUCCGCCACGGCGAGUGCGUUGUGCCCGGCACGGCCGUGAAGGUCUCCUACCGCGGCUCCCCGCUCGCCAGCGGGACCGCCGUGCAGCUCUGCGCCUGGCCGAGGACGGCGCCGAGCGAGCAGUCCCUCGUCGCCUGGGGCCGCGGCGUGCGCCUACCGGGCUUCAGGCUGGACAACCUCGCGGCCGACGCGCGGUGAGGCGUCGAGGCGUUCGAGGUCACGCUCCAGAUGCCACCGACUAGCGACGACGUGGGGAAGAUCGUGACGUGCACGGCCAGGCGGGUAGGGGACGCCGCCGCCUUGCAGGUUCCGUGCGAUAUGUCCAACAUGGGCUACGACUGGAAGCCGUCGCCCAAGGAUCUGCACGGCGGUGCCUGA